This 714-nucleotide ribosomal RNA is filed under the name Franwilsia bastowii. RNAcentral describes it as "eukaryotic LSU rRNA". It matches the Rfam family "Eukaryotic large subunit ribosomal RNA", at positions 165 to 900 of the family's 3401-position model. Lineage: Eukaryota; Fungi; Ascomycota; Lecanoromycetes; Teloschistales; Teloschistaceae. The record is from RNAcentral.
CGGGCGCGGCGCCGGUCUAAGUCCCUUGGAACGGGGCGUCGCAGAGGGUGAGAAUCCCGUACGUGACCGGCGACCAAGCCCGGGUGAAACCCCUUCGACGAGUCGAGUUGUUUGGGAAUGCAGCUCAAAAUGGGUGGUAAAUUUCAUCUAAAGCUAAAUACCGGCCAGAGACCGAUAGCGCACAAGUAGAGUGAUCGAAAGAUUAAAAGCACUUUGGAAAGAGAGUCAAACAGUACGUGAAAUUGUUGAAAGGGAAGCGCUUGCAACCAGACCUGCCCGCGGGCGAUCAGCCGUCCCUCGGGGCGGUGCAUGCGCCCGCGACCAGGCCAGCAUCGGUUCGGGCGGCCGGACAAAGGCCCCGGGAACGUAGCUCCUCUCGGGGAGUGUUAUAGCCCGGGGCGCCAUGCGGCCCGCCUGGACCGAGGACCGCGCUUCGGCUAGGAUGCUGGCGUAAUGGUUGUAAGCGGCCCGUCUUGAAACACGGACCAAGGAGUCUAACAUCUAUGCGAGUGUUUGGGCGUCAAACCCAUGCGCGCAAUGAAAGUGAACGGAGGUGGGAACCCGGGGCGCACCAUCGACCGAUCCUGAUGUCCUCGGAUGGAUUUGAGUACGAGCAUAGCUGUUGGGACCCGAAAGAUGGUGAACUAUGCCUGAAUAGGGUGAAGCCAGAGGAAACUCUGGUGGAGGCUCGCAGCGGUUCUGACGUGCAAAUCG